GGUGUGGAGAUGGCGUGACGCUAU
This 24-nucleotide non-coding RNA is filed under the name Arabidopsis thaliana (thale cress). The record is from RNAcentral. Lineage: Eukaryota; Viridiplantae; Streptophyta; Magnoliopsida; Brassicales; Brassicaceae.